This 374-nucleotide ribosomal RNA is filed under the name uncultured Chlamydomonadales. Its description in RNAcentral is "eukaryotic LSU rRNA". It matches the Rfam family "Eukaryotic large subunit ribosomal RNA", at positions 271 to 667 of the family's 3401-position model. Lineage: Eukaryota; Viridiplantae; Chlorophyta; Chlorophyceae; Chlamydomonadales. The record is from RNAcentral.
UGUUUGGGAAUGCAGCUCAAAAUUGGAGGUAAAUCCCUUCUAAGGCUAAAUACUGGCGAGAGACCGAUAGCGAACAAGUACCGUGAGGGAAAGAUGAAAAGAACUUUGAAAAGAGAGUUAAAAAGUGCUUGAAAUUGUUGAGAGGGAAGCGAUUGGAGGGUGUGAGUGCGUCUAGGCUUAUGCGUCUCUAACGAGCCGCUGUAUGUGCUAGAUGCUGGUCAGCAUGGGUUAGUCGGGCGGGAUAACAGCAUGGGUUGAUACCGUGUCUAUGCCGUUUGAUUGAUCAAGGUGUGAAUGGCGCUUAGUCCUUCGGGAACUGCGUCAUCAAGAUGCUGGCAGAAGCCCUUCAAUCGGCCCGUCUUGAAACACGGACC